UUUCCGUAGGUGAACUGCGGAAGGAUCAUUACCGAGUGCGGGCCCUCGCGGCCCAACCUCCCACCCUUGUCUCUCUACACCUGUUGCUUUGGCGGGCCCACCGGGGCCACCUGGUCGCCGGGGGACGCACGUCCCCGGGUCCGCGCCCGCCGAAGCGCUCUGUGAACCCUGAUGAAGAUGGGCUGUCUGAGUACGAUGAAAAUUGUCAAAACUUUCAACAAUGGAUCUCUUGGUUCCGGCAUCGAUGAAGAACGCAGCGAAAUGCGAUAAGUAAUGUGAAUUGCAGAAUUCCGUGAAUCAUCGAAUCUUUGAACGCACAUUGCGCCCCCUGGCAUUCCGGGGGGCAUGCCUGUCCGAGCGUCAUUUCUGCCCUCAAGCACGGCUUGUGUGUUGGGUGUGGUCCCCCCGGGGACCUGCCCGAAAGGCAGCGGCGACGUCCGUCUGGUCCUCGAGCGCAUGGGGCUCUGUCACUCGCUCGGGAAGGACCUGCGGGGGUUGGUCACCACCAUAUUUUACCACGGUUGACCUCGGAUCAGGUAGGAGUUACCCGCUGAACUUAA
This 560-nucleotide ribosomal RNA is filed under the name Penicillium sp. RNAcentral describes it as "eukaryotic LSU rRNA". The stretch from base 210 to 363 matches the Rfam family "5.8S ribosomal RNA". The record is from RNAcentral. Lineage: Eukaryota; Fungi; Ascomycota; Eurotiomycetes; Eurotiales; Aspergillaceae.